CCGCUGCCGGGGCUCGCCCUGCACCCCGAGGCCGGCGGGAUCGAGAGGGAGGUGGCCAAGCCACCCCUGGCCGGUGUGCUGGGAAGAGGGACUGGAACGUGCCAGUGCAACUGUGGAGGGAGCAAAACGGGUACACUGGAUUCAUCCCCUGCUCCAUGGACAAUGUUGGCAUGACCUACCUCUUGUCUGUGAAGAAAGCCAUGCAGGAAUUUGACCGUCGCCAGCUUUUGGAGAGAAAUCCACCUUAUACGUUGGGCACGAGAUUCCCCCUGACACACUGGCCGGACACCAAAAUCUACAACCGUGCUGGACUCAUACCUAACUAUGCUGGCUUUGUACCAUGUAAGUUCAUCAGCUGAGUGAAAACGAAAGUCACUAAUUACUGGGUUAAGUAGUGCUGUUACUAUCUGGAGUGGCAAGCAGUGGACAAUCACUGAGAUGUUCCACAUGGGUAGUAGGUUUUUUUGUGGUCUG
This 474-nucleotide long non-coding RNA is filed under the name Chloebia gouldiae (Gouldian finch). RNAcentral describes it as "Erythrura gouldiae (Gouldian finch) lncRNA (ENSEGOG00005008461.1)". Lineage: Eukaryota; Metazoa; Chordata; Aves; Passeriformes; Passeridae. The record is from RNAcentral.